This 163-nucleotide ribosomal RNA is filed under the name Stegodyphus mimosarum. RNAcentral's name for it is "eukaryotic small subunit ribosomal RNA". It matches the Rfam family "Eukaryotic small subunit ribosomal RNA", at positions 1512 to 1651 of the family's 1831-position model. Lineage: Eukaryota; Metazoa; Arthropoda; Arachnida; Araneae; Eresidae. The record is from RNAcentral.
AUAAAAAUUCCUGGUGGAAAUUAAAUAAAUCAUAAAUUGCAAAACACAUGCCAUAUAAGGACAGGCAGUACCUCCUUCGUGCUGGGGAUAGGGGCUUGUAAUUGUUUCCCUUGAACAAAGAAUUUCCCGUAAGCAUGAGUCAUAAGUUCAUGUUGAUUACAUC